This is a long non-coding RNA of Galeopterus variegatus (Sunda flying lemur), 1657 nucleotides long. RefSeq lists it as uncharacterized. The transcript is spliced from 2 exons. The record is from RefSeq and is a predicted model, not a curated record. Lineage: Eukaryota; Metazoa; Chordata; Mammalia; Dermoptera; Cynocephalidae.
CGCCUGUCGGGGAGUGGACUUUGCGGGAGAGGUUGCCCCCCAGUCUGAAGCCCCAAAGGCCUGGUGCUUGAGGACCCAGCCGUCUAAUGACACUCAUCGCUUUACUCUCCCCAUCUUUAGCCUGAAGAGCGGCCCCGAGCAGUCUCGGCGGUUUAGGUCACAGAGGGGAACGGAAACGUGCGUGAAUGUGGCGGCGGCCAACGAAGCUGCAAGGACAUGGCUGGCGCGCGGCCCAGGAGCAGGGAAGGGCCGGUGUUAGAGGCGGGACAGUGACGGGGGCGGGGCUAGGGGCGGGGCUAGAAGCCGGGCUAGCGCGAGGAUUGGCUGAAAGAGGCGCGGAGGGUGGCUGUUGCCAGGAAAAGGAGCGGGACCUCAGGGUUCUCAUCCCUCUCCAUGGAUUCCUGAGCAAACAAGGUGGCUGUGUCCCUCCUGCUGACCCUGGCCCUGACCUGACACUGUGAAUUGGGUUCAGACACAGUUUUAUCCCCUGCUCUUAAGGACUCCACAUUCCAGUAGAGACCAUCCUCAGAGAAGACCCCCACCCACUAACACCUUCACCUGAGAACUCCUCUGAAGAUGGUAAAGAUCUAUCCCACACAUACAGCUGCUAGACCAAUUCCUGACCAUCCCAACUGGUAAAAUUGGAAUCGGGCUGCUUCCAAUGACCAUCUUGUCUACAUCAAAAGAUACCACCCACAAAUGUUCACCCAGAUGCUUGAAGAAGGGAGGUGAGAAUGAGAGAGCAAUCAAGGAUAGAUGAAAACCACAGCGACAUACUUUUUUUUUUUUGGCCAACCGGCCUGGCUAAAAUAAAAAGACUUGAUACACUAAGUUGGCUGUGAUGUGGGGAAAUAGUCACAUUUGUCACUGGUGGAAGGGAAGAUUAGUACCACUGUAACAGAAGAUAAUUUGGGCUGCUUUCUCCACAUGUAAAAUGCACAUGGACUUUGGCCCCACACCUCCACCACCAGGGAUAAAUCCUGUGUGUGCACUUGGGCACGUGCAUACACUGACACGUGCCCAUCCUUACGUAUGAGUAAUGUUCAUUCCAUCAUUGUUUACAUUCACAAAGCACUAGGGAAACCUGAAAGUCCACUCACAGGGACUGGUUAAAUUAAUUGUGCUUUAACCACCCCAGGGACUAAUGUGCAGUCUUCACAUAUUGAACUCUGAGAUCUAAGUGAGCAAAGCAAGUGCAGAACCACAUAGACUUGGCUGCGUUUGUAUUUGUAAAAAGGCAGGAUGUGUACCCCUAUGGAUAUACUACCUGGAGGGGUACGCAGGAAACUGGGAAUGGUGAUUGCACCGUGGGUGGGAGAUACUUCGCUGUAGACUCUUUAGUUCUGCUCAUUUUUUUGUUAACCAUGCAUCAUAGGCAAAUCCUUAAGAGACAGAAAGCAGACGGAUGGUUACCAGGGGCUAGAGUCAUGGGAGAUCGGAGAGUUGCUACUUAAUGGGUAUGAGGUUUCCUUUUGGGGUGAUGUAAAGUUCUGAAACCAAAUAGAGAUCACGGUCAGACAACAUUGUGAAUGUACUAAAUGCCACUGGAUUGCUCACUUUAAAGUGGCUAAAAUGUUAAAUCUUUUGUGAUGUAUCUUUCACUACAAUAAAAAACACAUGUAUGUAUUUUUCAAGAAAGGUAAAAGAUAAGAAAAAA